UCGAGAAUCAUUCACAAUGGGGGAAACCCUGAUGGUGCAACGCCGCGUGGAGGAUGACGGUCCUCGGAUUGUAAACUCCUGUCAUCUGGGAGUAAGACCUGACGGUCAACAGCCGGCAGGGUUGAUAGUACCAGAAGAGGAAGGGACGGCUAACUUCGUGCCAGCAGCCGCGGUAAUACGAAGGUCCCAAGCGUUGUUCGGAAUCACUGGGCGUAAAGGGUGCGUAGGUGGGGCGGUAAGUCAGAUGUGAAAGCCCGGGGCUUAACCCCGGAACUGCAUCCGAUACUACCGGACUAGAGGACCGGAGAGGAGAUUGGAAUUCUCGGUGUAGCAGUGAAAUGCGUAGAGAUCGAGAGGAACACUCGUGGCGAAAGCGAGUCUCUGGACGGAUCCUGACGCUGAGGCACGAAGGCCGGGGUAGCGAAAG
Molecule: ribosomal RNA, 427 nt
Filed under: uncultured prokaryote
Description: bacterial SSU rRNA
Rfam family: Bacterial small subunit ribosomal RNA
Source: RNAcentral